Molecule: long non-coding RNA, 621 nt
Organism: Cyprinus carpio (common carp)
Lineage: Eukaryota; Metazoa; Chordata; Actinopteri; Cypriniformes; Cyprinidae
Exons: 3
Source: RefSeq, a predicted model, not a curated record
UCUAAUUCUAUUUAGGCCUACUAUCAACUUAAACAAUAUGUUAUCAAGUGUCAGGACAAGUUUAUAAUUUUAUGUACUAUGUAAACGCUGUGUAAUGAGUUUGAUGGGCGCGCGCGUUGAACAUUCGACGCGCAUUUAAACUGGAGUGGAGGGAGUUACCAUGGAAACGGGGCGGCAACUCAGCUGACAAGUAGCAAAUCUCUCCGUCUCUCACUGUUGUUUUUACUGCUUUCAGGUAAGUUUAGUCCCUAAAAUUACACAAAUAAUACAUACAACUUUUCCUGACACUUUCUUACAUGUAAUUGACACGCUUCUGUUGAAUAUUUACUUUACAGAAAUGGUUCAGUGUCAUGGGGAUAAGUCCUUUAGCAUCACAACCGUGAGCUAACAGAGGCUAACUAUAAGAGCAGAGUUGGAGUGGACCUCUUGUUGAAGAAUUUCUCCAGGCACUAUGAACCAUCUGACUAAUGCUGUCAUGAAACGCCAUGAAAAGGCAACUGCUGGACACCUGGGACAGGCCAUCAAUUCCAAGUUGGCGGAACUGAGGUUUCAACUGAAGAAAAAGGAGAACUGUUAGAGUUUAGAGUUGUCUAAUAGAGAGGGUGAAGGAAGAACAUCCAA